GGGAAAUUCAGUUUCAAAAGGCAAAAUUCAAUGGAUCCAAGGAAUAACAAUAUGCGUUUUAGUUUUGGUAGGCAAUCGUCUCUCGAUCCGAUACGGAGGUGUCCGUCUUUUGAAAACGAGACGAUUGCUGUACCGGAUAAUUUGGAUUCGACGAUGCAAUUGUUGUUUAUGGCAUGUAAAGGUGAUGUGAAUGGAGUGAAGGAUUUGUUGGAUGAAGAUGUUGAUGU
This 227-nucleotide unclassified non-coding RNA is filed under the name Hevea brasiliensis (rubber tree). Lineage: Eukaryota; Viridiplantae; Streptophyta; Magnoliopsida; Malpighiales; Euphorbiaceae. The record is from RNAcentral.